This 254-nucleotide ribosomal RNA is filed under the name uncultured bacterium. RNAcentral describes it as "partial 16S ribosomal RNA". It matches the Rfam family "Bacterial small subunit ribosomal RNA", at positions 524 to 775 of the family's 1533-position model. The record is from RNAcentral.
UACAGAGACUGCAAGCGUUAUUCGGAUUCACUGGGCGUAAAGGGUGCGCAGGCGGUUGUGUGUGUCAGGUGUGAAAGCCCGGGGCUUAACCCCGGAAUUGCGCCUGAAACUACAUGACUAGAGCAUUGGAGAGGGUAGCGGAAUUCACGGUGUAGCAGUGAAAUGCGUAGAUAUCGUGAGGAACACCAGAGGCGAAAGGCGGCUACCUGGACAAUUGCUGACGCUCGAGGCACGAAAGCGUGGGGAGCAAAGGG